UAGUGUUUCUGAGAAUCACAUUAGACCUCCACAAAAUUGGAAACUCAACUUUUUUUUGUUAAUUUUGUCCAUUUUUUCAAGUUAUAACACUGAUAUUGAUGACCUUGUGUAGUGAUACAUACAUUACUGGGAUAAACAACAAUGAGUAUCAAAUAACAAGAGGAACAGUAAGUAAUUUUCAUGUUGGUGGAUAACAGAACUAUUUCUUCAUAUCUGCAUUGAUUUUGAAUACAUUCUAUUAUAGUGGAAUCUCCUAGUUAAAAUUCAACUAUCUUUCCUGUUCAUAACCACUAAAACAGUUAAGAGUUUUUUGCUUGUUUAUAUGCUUGGAGUGCUUUGGUUGCUCUGCAGGAACUGAACCGCAUUGCAGGAGUGGACAACAACUGCAACUAUGUGAAGGCUGACUUCAUGAAUAUGCCAUUUUUUGACAACAGUUUUGAUGCAAUAUUUGCAAUAGAAGCUACCUGUCAUGCACCAGAUGUGGUGGAUUGCUAUAAAGAGAUUUUCGGAGUGUUGAAGCCCGGCCAAUGUUUUGCUGCUUAUGAGUGGUGCAUCACUGAUUCUUUUGAUUCGAACAAUGAAGAGCACCAGAGAAUCAAGGGUGAGGUUGAGCUUGGUAAUGGACUUCCAGAUAUCAGGUCAAUGAAACAAUGUCUUGAAGCUCUGAAACUUGCACUCAAGUGGAUUCACAUUCACUAAUAUUGAAGAUGAACGAAUUUGGUAACCUGCAUAGCAAGAGUUUUUUGUUAAUAUUACCAGACACAUCCAUCACAGUGUAGUUGUACUUUUUGUUGAUAUUACCAAACAUGUAUUUUGACUAUGUUGUUGUGGGCUAUGAUUAUAUUGUGAUGGAUCUUAUCUUUUUGUUGAUAUUUUAUUGAAUAGAUUAAAAUGAACAGGUUUUUGUUGAUAUUACCAAAUGAACAGGUUUUUGUAAUGAUUUGUAAUGGAUAUUAUAUUCAGCAGGUUAUUAAAAUGCACAAGUUAUUUUGA
Non-coding RNA from Camellia sinensis, 993 nucleotides. Lineage: Eukaryota; Viridiplantae; Streptophyta; Magnoliopsida; Ericales; Theaceae. The record is from RefSeq and is a predicted model, not a curated record.